This is a long non-coding RNA of Ictalurus punctatus (channel catfish), 540 nucleotides long. The record is from Ensembl. NCBI's taxonomy places the organism in Eukaryota, Metazoa, Chordata, Actinopteri, Siluriformes, Ictaluridae.
GUAAGUAGGCUUAUUUAUUAUUUUUUUAUGUUUUUUUGUGUUCUCAGGUAAGUAGAAUCUUAAUUAGUAUCAUGUACUUUUUAUUUUCAGGAAGAUGGGGCUCGAUUUGUGUUAGGUGCUUUUUAAGUAAUUGUGGAAUUAUGUAUUAUAUACUAUAUUAUCAAGUGUAUUUUGAGGAAUUUUUAUUUCAGGUCAAUAGGGAUUAAUUUGUAUUAUGUGCUUUUUAAUUUUCAGAGAAGUAGGGCUUAAUUUGUAUUAGAUCUCUGUUAUUCUCCCGGUCAAUAGGGAUUAAUUUGUAUUAUGUGCUUUUUAAUUUUCAGAGAAGUAGGGCUUAAUUUGUAUUAGAUCUCUGUUAUUCUCCCGGUCAAUAGGGAUUAAUUUGUAUUAUGUGCUUUUUAAUUUUCAGAGAAGUAGGGCUUAAUUUGUAUUAGAUCUCUGUUAUUCUCCCGGUCAAUAGGGAUUAAUUUGUAUUAUGUGCUUUUUAAUUUUCAGAGAAGUAGGGCUUAAUUUGUAUUAGAUAUCUGUUACUCUCCCGGUUAA